Molecule: ribosomal RNA, 253 nt
Filed under: uncultured bacterium
Lineage: Bacteria
Description: partial 16S ribosomal RNA
Rfam family: Bacterial small subunit ribosomal RNA
Source: RNAcentral
UACGGAGGGGGCUAGCGUUGUUCGGAAUUACUGGGCGUAAAGCGCGCGUAGGCGGAUAUUUAAGUCAGGGGUGAAAUCCCGCAGCUCAACCGCGGAACUGCCUUCGAUACUGGGUAUCUUGAGUAUGGAAGAGGUAAGUGGAAUUCCUAGUGUAGAGGUGAAAUUCGUAGAUAUUCGGAGGAACACCAGUGGCGAAGGCGGCUUACUGGUCCAUUACUGACGCUGAGGUGCGAAAGCGUGGGGAGCAAACAGG